UCAAAAACUCUCUUUUCUCAAAACCCCGCGAAUGCCUCUUUUCUCAAAACCCCGCGAAUGCCUCUUUUCUCAAAACCCUAUUUUCUCAAAAGCAGCCCUCUUGGACAAACGGAGAAAGGGUAACAAUCAAAACAGGCCACCGUCUUGACUGUUUCGAAAUUGGUUUACAGAUCGUCCUUUGAUCGAAUUCAAGCUCAAAAUUCUGAAAUCUCGUCUAUCAGUCUCAGUUUGUUCUGUUACGAUUUUUUUUCGGGUUCAUCAGUUUCGUCACUGGUUCGGGGGAUUUGGGGGUUCUGUUCAUCUCAACCAGUUCAUCGCGAUCAGUUUUUGGCUUCGAUUCCUUUUUCGACAUCGUGUUUGGAGUUGGAUUCGCUGUUGAGGUUUUCCGGUUGGCUCGCAAUACCUCACGUUUUUGAUUGCUUGCUUGUGGGUUCUAGCUAAUUUGGCUUCUGGCAGGACCAUUAGUGGCUUUCUUGGUAAUUUCAGCUUCAAUCCACUAUGGGAUUUGAUGAAAGCCAGCAGACUGAUCCAUUGGUUGUGAUACGCAAUGGAAAGAGAUCAUAUUGCAGGCCUUUAACUGGGAAUCUCAAAAAUAUGACUGGUGGAGAAAUUUAGAUGGUAAAGGCCUUUAUUCUCUUAAUUCUUCAUAUGGUUCUGAGCAUCUCUUAAAAUCUUUGCUUAGUAAGAUGAAGCACUAUAAAGUUAGAGGGAUGGCAGACAUAGUCAUUAACCAUCGUGUUGGAACUACCAAAGGGCACGGUGGAAUGUACAACCGCUAUGAUGGAAUUCCUUUUUCUUGGGAUGAACAUGCUGUUACAUCUUGCACUGGUGGAUUGGUAGAGUUUGCCCCUUCACUGGCAAGAAGUCUAGCAGCCAAGUGAUGUCUCUAGUGGACCUCUUUUGGAUGUGAAUGGAAGAUCUUCUGGUGAUAGUUAUUCUAGCGAUGGUCAUUGAAAUUUGUAAUCGUAUUAGUAACUAUGACAAUAUUAUUGAAUCGCUGUUGGAGCAGUAUUUUGUGUUUAAAUUAGUUUUUAAGACUAAUGACAAUAUUUUUGUGGUACGUUUUUAUGAUCUAAUAUUUUUUUGAUUUUUAUUGUUA
This is an RNA transcript of Capsicum annuum, 1099 nucleotides long. It is a transcript of the gene named probable alpha-amylase 2, with no coding region annotated. The transcript has 6 exons. NCBI's taxonomy places the organism in Eukaryota, Viridiplantae, Streptophyta, Magnoliopsida, Solanales, Solanaceae. The record is from RefSeq and is a predicted model, not a curated record.